Molecule: ribosomal RNA, 429 nt
Filed under: Actinomycetes bacterium
Lineage: Bacteria; Bacillati; Actinomycetota; Actinomycetes
Description: Actinobacteria bacterium partial 16S ribosomal RNA
Rfam family: Bacterial small subunit ribosomal RNA
Source: RNAcentral
UAGGGAAUCUUCCGCAAUGGGCGAAAGCCUGACGGAGCAACGCCGCGUGAGUGAUGAAGGUCUUCGGAUCGUAAAACUCUGUUAUUAGGGAAGAACAAAUGUGUAAGUAACUAUGCACGUCUUGACGGUACCUAAUCAGAAAGCCACGGCUAACUACGUGCCAGCAGCCGCGGUAAUACGUAGGUGGCAAGCGUUAUCCGGAAUUAUUGGGCGUAAAGCGCGCGUAGGCGGUUUUUUAAGUCUGAUGUGAAAGCCCACGGCUCAACCGUGGAGGGUCAUUGGAAACUGGAAAACUUGAGUGCAGAAGAGGAAAGUGGAAUUCCAUGUGUAGCGGUAAAAUGCGCAGAGAUGUGGAGGAACACCAGUGGCGAAGGCGACUUUCUGGUCUGUAACUGACGCUGAUGUGCGAAAGCGUGGGGAUCAAACAGG